CUACGAAGGGGGCUAGCGUUGUUCGGAAUUACUGGGCGUAAAGCGCGCGUAGGCGGGUUGGCAAGUCAGAUGUGAAAUCCUACAGCUUAACUGUAGAACUGCAUUUGAAACUGCUAACCUAGAGUAUGGGAGGGGGAGGUGGAAUUAGUGGUGUAGGGGUAAAAUCCGUAGAUAUCACUAGGAAUACCGAAAGCGAAGGCGAUCUCCUGGAACAUAACUGACGCUAAGGCGUGAAAGCGUGGGGAGCAAACAGGAUUAGAAACCCUAGUAGUCC
Molecule: ribosomal RNA, 274 nt
Filed under: uncultured bacterium
Lineage: Bacteria
Description: partial 16S ribosomal RNA
Rfam family: Bacterial small subunit ribosomal RNA
Source: RNAcentral